CUACAGGAACGUGAUGAGGCACUUUCCCACCUCUGAAGAAGGAUCCUGCCCCUGAGAGGCUGCUAUUGGCACAGUGUCUCAUGUGGAAAAGGAUUUUUUUGAUUCCCUUUUGCUUUGCGCUGGCAGUCCGUCUCAUUGAGCUCUUUACGUGAAAGUGUGGACGGGAGUGCAUGACUGGGAAAGUCUGUCUGAUUUUCUGCAGGUUUACCGCAGUCCGCCGGAUCCAGGCCGUAUCCGGAUCUGAUGAAGGAUCUGCACCUGGACACGACGACAACGCAGACCUGAAGUGUCAACUGGUCUCUCCCUUGUGAAGACCUCCUUUCCUUUACCUCUAUACAGAUAAAACGUUGUCGGGAUAAUUCUGGUUUAUGUGGCUAUGCGGAAGUUUUUUUUAUUUAUACCUUUAUUUAACCAGGAAAUCCCAUUGAGAUUCAGAAUCUCUUUUACAAGAGAGACCUGGCCAAGGUAGCAGCCAAAUCAUGGAUCAUCCGAAAUCAUGGAAGUGAUAUAAAAAUUCUGUAAUAUACAUUUUUAAAGGCUUGUACCUUGGAACCUAUUUUAUGGUUUGCAUUCUUGAGACACCAGGUACUUUUAGGUACGUUUUCUGUAAUAAUGGUGUCAUGUUAAGUUAAAAACUAAUGAUCGUUGCGACGGAAGUUAAUCAAUCAAAACGUACUUAAGCUGGACAAUAACUUUAUUUUAGAGCUGCUGUAAAGCCAAAACAAUCUCUGUUACUUUAAUUUCCUAUUAUCACUGUAAAGCUGCUUUGAAACAAUCUAUAUUGUUAAAAGCGCUAUAUAAAUGAAGGUAAAUUGACUUUCUUUAAUUGCCUGACCCUGAAAUCCCACUGGACAACAGCAGGCUCCAUCUCGGUUUCAUCAUUACCCGACGCUUUGGAUAGGUUUUUGUUUAGUCAUACUUAGCGCCCAUGGAUGCCUUCCAGCAUUACAAAACCACUAAACCUUACUUGAGCUGCCAAACCAGUGAGACCUGUUAAAGUUGGCAUUCAUGACUAACCAAAUGGUCCUGUAUCCAUGCUAGAAAAAUUAUGGUUAGGUUGAAUGACUAUAAUGUAAUAAGCCGAGUAGUGUACUGCUGCAACAACCACAAAUCAUGCAUUAAAUUAAACUUAUUUUCUUG
This is a non-coding RNA of Pimephales promelas (fathead minnow), 1140 nucleotides long. The record is from RefSeq and is a predicted model, not a curated record. NCBI's taxonomy places the organism in Eukaryota, Metazoa, Chordata, Actinopteri, Cypriniformes, Leuciscidae.